GGACACAGGUGGAGUGACCUUCAGCCAGGUAAUAGUUAGCGCUUUAGGUUAUGUCACUUUUACCGCUAAAAAUAGCUCUGAAUCUGUGUGCAUAUUUCAGAUGCUGUAUGGUAAUUUUAUUUUUAUCAGUUACAUCAGGACUCGCACAAGUUCGAGUUGGAAGUAAUGAUUUGUAAUCUGGU
Long non-coding RNA from Thalassophryne amazonica, 182 nucleotides. RefSeq lists it as uncharacterized. The record is from RefSeq and is a predicted model, not a curated record. Lineage: Eukaryota; Metazoa; Chordata; Actinopteri; Batrachoidiformes; Batrachoididae. The transcript has 3 exons.